This 720-nucleotide long non-coding RNA is filed under the name Trifolium pratense (red clover). RNAcentral describes it as "long non-coding RNA (TPRA_LNC007841)". The record is from RNAcentral. Lineage: Eukaryota; Viridiplantae; Streptophyta; Magnoliopsida; Fabales; Fabaceae.
CUUCAAAACAUCAAAGAUGCAAAAAGAUUCAACAAAGAUUUUUCUGACUUCUUGUAACUGAGAUUUCAAGGCAUAUCCAACAAUUCUCCACCUUGCCUUUAAAUUGAUGGUGAUCCGAUCAACCACCGUGCUGCUCUCUCCAUCUUGAACCUCCAUUCAAGAUCACCGGAUCGUACCUCCCUCUUCAUCCUCGGAAUGCCUUCCGCUCUCAUGAAGAUCUUGCAUCCCACUACCAUAGGAUUUUAGGUAGCCCCACAAGAUUCACCGCACCCUCUUNNNNNNNNNNNNNNNNNNCGCUUGCUCCCAACUAUCAUCGGAAUUUUAGAUAGCUCAACAAGCUCCACCAUCCAUCUUCAGCCCCCGGAUUGUGCCUUUUCCGUCCUCCUGAAGAAUCGCUUGCCUCCGACUAUCCAUGGGAUUUUGUGAUAGCCCUACAAGCCUUCACCACUCUUCGACCCCGGAAUGCCUUCCGUACUCUCGAAGUUUUGCUUGGCUCCAAACCAACCUUGGAAUUUUAGGCGGUUCCACAAGCUGCAACAUCAAACUCUCCUUGUAUCCAACUACCUCCAGCAGUCUCACAAGUUACCAAGUCUGAUCACAUGUUGCUUUCAAUUGCCUCCCUGAAGAUCCACUCAAGGUCUUGCACUUCUUCAUCCACAAUUGAAACAUAAUCCACAAGGUCUCCAUGGUCAUCCCCUUUGGUUCAACAAUACCACUCUC